This 253-nucleotide ribosomal RNA is filed under the name uncultured prokaryote. Its description in RNAcentral is "partial 16S ribosomal RNA". It matches the Rfam family "Bacterial small subunit ribosomal RNA", at positions 525 to 777 of the family's 1533-position model. The record is from RNAcentral.
ACGUAGGGUGCGAGCGUUAAUCGGAAUUACUGGGCGUAAAGCGUGCGCAGGCGGUUUCACAAGCUCGAUGUGAAAGCCCCGGGCUUAACCUGGGAAUGGCAUUGAGGACUGUGGAGCUUGAGUGCGGCAGAGGGAGGUGGAAUUCCACGUGUAGCAGUGAAAUGCGUAGAGAUGUGGAGGAACACCGAUGGCGAAGGCAGCCUCCUGGGCCAGCACUGACGCUGAAGCACGAAAGCGUGGGGAGCAAACAGGA